Molecule: long non-coding RNA, 1202 nt
Organism: Mesocricetus auratus (golden hamster)
Lineage: Eukaryota; Metazoa; Chordata; Mammalia; Rodentia; Cricetidae
Exons: 3
Source: RefSeq, a predicted model, not a curated record
ACUUACCCUCUCUGACCAUCCCCUCCCUCAAAUCUCAAACUACAAGACUCUUUGGAAAACUCCAAUUGCACUCAAUUUAUUCUGGGAGUGUGUUUAAAGGGUAAGGGUUUUGAAACACGAUCAACAAAAUAAUCAGUUCUGGAUUACACUAACUAGCAUCCCUCCAGAUGGAGCCAAGCCUUAAGAGGAAAAACAGCUUCCUGCAAGCCUCCCUCCGUGAAUGAGAAACUGUGUCUCAAAACUUUUUAUUGAAUAUUUCCCAGUGAUGCCUGUCUUUCCAGUAGGGGAAUGCUCGGUCUUUCUCAGAACCAAGACUUUUCCUCAGUCCAGCUGUGGCCAGAUGUUGCGCAACAUCUUGGUCUGUUUUCUGAUGAAAAAUGGCAUCUUUGGAGCAGACUUUCUGCAUUCUUACAAAUGUAUGGACAAAGCACAGUUCUUUUGCUCUUGACUUUCUAAUCUACAGACUGGAUAAAAACAAUGAAGGACUAGAGAGAUGCUCCUUGUUACAGAGUUGUUGCUCUACGAUACUCUGCUCUUUCAUUCCAGAUCACAUACAAGACAGCACCUACAAGAAGCUGUCUCGUCUGACCAAGGAUCUCAGAUGACCCAGAAUACUACAGAUCCUUGUCCUGGCUGGAGUGAGGAGCCUUUAAAUGCAAGCUGUGUGCCAACCAUUAACUUGAGUCAUGAGCCAUCAUGAGUGAAGUGGUCCAGGGAUUGCCACUUGGGCUCUACGCAGUAAGCUUAUGCUUCCCUCUGAUGCUAUUUAGUUUUUGACGGUGUUAUUAAAAUUAAAGGACUUUUUUCAAUGAGCGGGGAGGGAAUCUACUUAACCAAAUUGUUCAUAAAUGGCAUAAAACACAUCAAGACUUUGAUUUACGCCAAUCUGCCAAUACAGGAUCCUGCCAUUGCAAGAACCUUUUUAUAUAAAUAUUUACAAGAAGAAUGACAAAAGAAAAGUGGUUUGGGGAGCUACCAGAUGGAAUAAUACAAGAAUAAACUUUAAUGUAGUCAAAAUGGGCUUCACUAGCAAGGAGACUCUUCCAGCACCUGGGAGUUGGGGUGACAAGACUCAAGAGUUAAGAGUCAAACAACUUUUGGAGAGCUUCUCUUGGGAUUCAUUUUGAAUAAUCUAUAAAAACUAGAUUUUUGUGUUUAUUGAAACCUUCAAAACCUAAUUUGCAAUAAACUCCCAAAUAAUG